GAAAAAUAUGAUUUCUUAAUAAAAUGUUAUUUUGCUAAACGUUACAAAUCUCCAUAUUGGAACAAACGCCUUCAUUUUAUGAGGUAAUUCUAAAUGCAAUUACCUCAUACACUAUUGGCUCUUUUCAGGCCAGCUGUUUUGGACAUGUAAUGGACUAUUAGUCAUGUAAAAGGAUCUACAGUUCAAACAGUUCACGUUUUGGGCGGGGAUUAUGAGAAACUUUUAAAGAGAACAUCCAAAACACUUCAGCGGAUCCUGAUUGGGCAAGCAACCUGUCACUCGAAAGCCAGGGGCGUGGUUUAGGAGCGAUCGUUCUCAAUGUAAUAGAGUUUUAGCGCAGUCUUGCUUUUUCAUAGGCGUGUGUCAACUGUGUGUGCCAAGGGUGCUCCGCUCUUACCAAUGCGAUUAAUGAACACAACGAACCGAUUGAGGAAACACUAAACAAACAAGCUGCUUUUCCUUUUCGUCUGUAUUUUAAUACGGACGAGCUUCGCGUCUGCAAGGAAUCAUCCCUCUGCACGAGCACAAAGGAAAAUUAAAAAAGGGAAGAAAAGAGUGAAACGGAGCAGGAAAUUACAGCCUGAAGAUAAGGAGAUUCUUCCUCUCACAGAGACCAUGGAAUCCCAAGGUAGCGCAACACCACCCGUCACUCAACCAGGACUAACAGCGGAAGUUGAAAUUUAUUUUAUGUGUGCGUUGGAGCAGGCGGUAUUACUAAAACCUUGAAUCUUGGUAUAAGUAAUUGUGUAUAUACGAUUUUAAAAAUAUAUUUUUAUUAUAUAUUAAUGCAUAUUCAGUGGCCUUGAAAAUACGCAUGGAAAAUGCAUGAAUGUCUUUGCACUAUGAAACAAAAUGCACAUUAUAAACCAAGUCACAAAAUAACUGCUAAAAAUAACUCUAAAACUGUGUUCACAUAGAUUUGGCUGGGAAUUAUAAAACAACUGAUAAAUCACCUUGGGACCAAGUAAUUGCGAGAAAAAUAGUUCUGAGAAGAGCAUGACGAAAGUUAAUUCUUAGAAAAGCAUGAUGUCACUUGGCUGAUAUUUUAUUUCUAAUACACUGAAAUCUUCAGUAGUAUUCAGAGUAUUUUUGUUUUACUGGGAAUACUGUAAAAAAAGGUUUAUAUAAUAAACAAGCAUGCCUAGUUUUGGAUAAUCCA
This is a long non-coding RNA of Cyprinus carpio (common carp), 1159 nucleotides long. Lineage: Eukaryota; Metazoa; Chordata; Actinopteri; Cypriniformes; Cyprinidae. The record is from Ensembl.